Molecule: ribosomal RNA, 789 nt
Filed under: Microbacterium paraoxydans
Lineage: Bacteria; Bacillati; Actinomycetota; Actinomycetes; Micrococcales; Microbacteriaceae
Also listed under: 1 other name
Description: bacterial SSU rRNA
Rfam family: Bacterial small subunit ribosomal RNA
Source: RNAcentral
CGCCGCGUGAGGGAUGACGGCCUUCGGGUUGUAAACCUCUUUUAGCAGGGAAGAAGCGAAAGUGACGGUACCUGCAGAAAAAGCGCCGGCUAACUACGUGCCAGCAGCCGCGGUAAUACGUAGGGCGCAAGCGUUAUCCGGAAUUAUUGGGCGUAAAGAGCUCGUAGGCGGUUUGUCGCGUCUGCUGUGAAAUCCCGAGGCUCAACCUCGGGCCUGCAGUGGGUACGGGCAGACUAGAGUGCGGUAGGGGAGAUUGGAAUUCCUGGUGUAGCGGUGGAAUGCGCAGAUAUCAGGAGGAACACCGAUGGCGAAGGCAGAUCUCUGGGCCGUAACUGACGCUGAGGAGCGAAAGGGUGGGGAGCAAACAGGCUUAGAUACCCUGGUAGUCCACCCCGUAAACGUUGGGAACUAGUUGUGGGGUCCAUUCCACGGAUUCCGUGACGCAGCUAACGCAUUAAGUUCCCCGCCUGGGGAGUACGGCCGCAAGGCUAAAACUCAAAGGAAUUGACGGGGACCCGCACAAGCGGCGGAGCAUGCGGAUUAAUUCGAUGCAACGCGAAGAACCUUACCAAGGCUUGACAUAUACGAGAACGGGCCAGAAAUGGUCAACUCUUUGGACACUCGUAAACAGGUGGUGCAUGGUUGUCGUCAGCUCGUGUCGUGAGAUGUUGGGUUAAGUCCCGCAACGAGCGCAACCCUCGUUCUAUGUUGCCAGCACGUAAUGGUGGGAACUCAUGGGAUACUGCCGGGGUCAACUCGGAGGAAGGUGGGGAUGACGUCAAAUCAUCA